RNAcentral lists this unclassified non-coding RNA (245 nucleotides) under Hevea brasiliensis (rubber tree). Lineage: Eukaryota; Viridiplantae; Streptophyta; Magnoliopsida; Malpighiales; Euphorbiaceae. The record is from RNAcentral.
UGGUCUUCCAAAUGGCUUUGAGUGCCACAGAGCUCUGCGGCCACCCUCUCUUGCUGGUGUAAAGCUGGGCUUUGUGUUAUGCUAAGAAACUUAGAAGUUUGCUUUGUUGUGAAUGAAUAGUAGUGCUUGAUUGGGNNCUCCUUGGUUGUUGGCGAUGUGUUGGCUUCGAUCUUAGUCCAGCUCCUCUAGUGGUGGCAAGCUAUGAUGGUGAACAAUGGCAGAUGUUCUGUUUAAGUAGUCCCCCC